GAGACAGCAGCAGCCACGGUAAUACGGAGGGUGCAAGCGUUAAUCGGAAUUACUGGGCGUAAAGCGCACGCAGGCGGUCUGACAAGUCAGAUGUGAAAUCCCCGGGCUUAACCUGGGAACUGCAUUUGAAACUGUCAGGCUGGAGUCUUGUAGAGGGGGGUGGAAUUCCAGGUGUAGCGGUGAAAUGCGUAGAGAUCUGGAGGAAUACCGGUGGCGAAGGCGGCCCCCUGGACAAAGACUGACGCUCAGGUGCGAAAGCGUGGGGAGCAAACAGGAUUAGAUACCCGAGUAGUCCCUGUCUCUUAUAC
RNAcentral lists this ribosomal RNA (308 nucleotides) under uncultured bacterium. RNAcentral's name for it is "partial 16S ribosomal RNA". It matches the Rfam family "Bacterial small subunit ribosomal RNA", at positions 505 to 807 of the family's 1533-position model. The record is from RNAcentral.